Long non-coding RNA from Myotis daubentonii (Daubenton's bat), 1844 nucleotides. RefSeq lists it as uncharacterized. Lineage: Eukaryota; Metazoa; Chordata; Mammalia; Chiroptera; Vespertilionidae. The record is from RefSeq and is a predicted model, not a curated record.
AAGGCAUUAUCAGGUUUGGGGAUGAGGCUCCCCCUGUGUGUGUGUGCGUGUGAGAACCACACCGAGGUCUGGAUCAGAAUGGAAGAAACUGAGAAGAGAAAACCCAACCCUUUUCAGAAGAUCCAGCCCCUCCCUGCCCCUGGGUGGCCCUUCGCCCAUCACCCAGCAUCUCCUCGCGGGAGAAGCCUGCCUGGCCCUCUGGUCCUCAGGAAACCUCCCGUCCUGAGAGGGAAGCGGGGCAGCCCCGCGGCCGCAGCUGCUCUCACGGAGGAGCGAGACCAGGGCUGACAAGGCCGGCCUCUGUUCACAUCUCCAAGGAGGCACAGAAACCUCAUUCCAGCGGAGUUUCCUUCGGAGAGAGAGAGCGCCCAGCAGACUCUUGACAAACAAAGUGACUUCAAAGACAGCGGAGCUCAUGGUGAUGGCCCGGGCACUUCCAGGCAAUUACUUCUGCGUGUGCGGCGCUCCUGGGCCCCCCAUUGUCUGGGUAGGUCGGGUGGUAAGAUCCAGGGCGAGGGAUCCGGGGAACCGGGUUCGAGUCAUAGCUCGGCCCUUGCCUGUGUGCCCUCCUCCCUGAGCCUCGCUCUCCUCGUUUGCAAAAUGAAGGUGGUUGAGUUUGACAUGUCUCGGGGGGUUUCCAGGUCUGGAAAGGCCGCUGGUUCGGGUUGGUUGUGCCGGUAUGCGGGAGAUACUCCUGGUUGAGGCCACCCUGGUAGCACGGGCUGGGGGCAGCAGCGGAGACCUCAAUCAAGCAGCCUGCCCGUGCACUGACUCACCCACCGUGGCCUUGAACUACUCACUGGCCCUCUUUGUGAGUCCUUCUUAUCGGAGAGAGGAGGUCCGGCAGUCUGGCCCCUGACAUCGCAGCUUAGAUAUGCGACCAGCCUGAAUGACGAGGGUGAAAAGUACUUCGUGUGUCUAGGGCUAAAUGGUUAUUCCUCUUGGAAGAUAAGUUUUAAACGUGCUAGCCCCCCAAUAUAUUUGUUGAUUAUCCAAAAACAGAGUCAUAAAAAGUCAAUAUUCUUUACUCUUGGCUUUCCUUACAUUGCUUCUGGUUCAGAGAAGGCACGUACCAGGUAGCCAGCACGGGCUGUGAGAAUCAGGGUUUCUCCCUCCUACGUCGGCCAGAGCAACAACGUUCCUUGUUUUUGUCAAGUUGCUACUCUGCUCAGAAACCGUCAAGAUUCCCCUGACAUCUGAGGUCCAAUCCAAACUGGCAUGUAAUUCCUGUGAUGACCUGGCUCCAACCUGCAUGAUCUGUCCUCCUGCCUAAAAUCGCAGAAUUCGCCAGGCCCUCCACAAUGGUGCCACACUCACCCCCUAAGGGUCACCUGACAAGUGGACAGCAGGUCUCUGUAGACACAGUGAUGGGGAGAAGCCUCUGAUACUUUUCAAAUCACCCCUAAUUAUUGGAGACCUCUCCCCUGUGUUGGAUCAGAACCUGCCUCAUCAUAAACCCCAACUACCCACCGGUCCUGUAGGAGCCACUCCUAUGCAGCUCUGUUCAGCCUCCUCCGUGUCUGAAGAAGCCAUCAUGCCACCCCUGAGAAAUCUCUUUUCCAGACUCAACAACUGCAGUGUCUUUAACCGAUUUCAUUGGCUAAAUGUUGCUGUCCUUCCCUUUUUUUCUGAACAUGCUUCACAUGGUCACCAUCUCUUCAAAAAGUGACCCUUUAGCCUGGCUGGUGUGGCUCAGUGGUUGGGUGUCAACCUGUGAACCAGGGGGUCGAGGUUCGAUUCCUGGUCAGGGCACAUGCCCGGGUUUCAGACUCCAUCACCAGUGGGUGGGCGUGCAGGAGGGAUCCGAUCAAUGAUUCUCUCUCGUCAUUGAUGUUUCUAUCUCU